RNAcentral lists this ribosomal RNA (301 nucleotides) under uncultured bacterium. RNAcentral's name for it is "partial 16S ribosomal RNA". It matches the Rfam family "Bacterial small subunit ribosomal RNA", at positions 509 to 807 of the family's 1533-position model. The record is from RNAcentral.
CAGUCGCCGCGGUAAUACGUAGGGUGCAAGCGUUAAUCGGAAUUACUGGGCGUAAAGCGUGCGCAGGCGGUUCUAUAAGACAGAUGUGAAAUCCCCGGGCUCAACCUGGGAACUGCAUUUGUGACUGUAGAGCUCGAGUACGGUAUAGGGGGAUGGAAUUCCGCGUGUAGCAGUGAAAUGCGUAGAUAUUGGGAAGAACACCGGUGGCGAAGGCGGCAACCUGGUCCAUGACUGACGCUGAGGCGCGAAAGCGUGGGGAGCAAACAGGAUUAGAUACCCGUGUAGUCCCUGUCUCUUAUAC